AUGGUUGGUCUCUCAUUGAUCUUCACUGUAACAGCUGCAGUAUCACAACACAGAGAGGUUUUUGUACCAGCAGUAAUAGUGAUUGUAUCACUGUGGUGGACUUUUGGUAGCGGCACCAGACUUGAUGUUGGAAGUAACAGGGCCCCCACCCUCACCGUCCUGCCCCCCUCUAGUGAGGAGCUGUCCAGUACAACAACAGCCACACUGACGUGUCUGGCCAACAAGGGCUUCCCCUCAGACUGGACCAUGAGCUGGAAAGUGGACGGGACCAACAAGAACCAGGAGACCAGUUCUAGGGUCCUGGAGAAGGAUGGUCUGUACAGCUGGAGCAGCACCCUGACUCUCACUGCCCAGGAGUGGACCAAGGCAGGAGAGGUGACCUGUGAAGCCCAGCAGAAAUCCCAGACUCCAGUCACCAAGACCCUGAGGAAGGCUGACUGUUCUGGGUAGGACCCCUCAGUCACACACCCCUGUGGAGAGAGGCUGCUGGUUCCUCUGCUUUGACUCUGUUCUGAGAUCAGAUGUUCUUUGUCUUAUUGAUCACUGUAAACUAACAGAGGGCUUUGCUUGAGUUCAUGUGUCAAUCCUCUCUGUAGACUGAGGUUGUAUCAGUGUUAGAUGUGAUGUGUUCUGUUUUAUUACAAUUAGAUGCUGUAGGAAUGUUUGCUUUGAUGAAUACAUGAAAAUAAAGAUUUCCCUUUGGAACAAGUA
Molecule: non-coding RNA, 711 nt
Organism: Oncorhynchus masou masou (cherry salmon)
Lineage: Eukaryota; Metazoa; Chordata; Actinopteri; Salmoniformes; Salmonidae
Source: the annotation of a RefSeq genome assembly